RNAcentral lists this ribosomal RNA (2689 nucleotides) under Salmonella enterica subsp. enterica serovar Derby. Its description in RNAcentral is "bacterial LSU rRNA". The stretch from base 514 to 2689 matches the Rfam family "Bacterial large subunit ribosomal RNA". Lineage: Bacteria; Pseudomonadati; Pseudomonadota; Gammaproteobacteria; Enterobacterales; Enterobacteriaceae. The record is from RNAcentral.
UCUUUAACAAUUUAUCAGACAAUCUGUGUGGGCACUCGAAGAUACGGAUUCUUAACGUCCUCGGACGAAAAAUGAAUACCAAGUCUCAAGAGUGAACACGUAAUUCAUUACGAAGUUUAAUUCUUUGAGCAUCAAACUUUNGGGAACCUGCGGUUGGAUCACCUCCUUACCUUAAAGAAGCGUACUUUGCAGUGCUCACACAGAUUGUCUGAUGAAAAGUGAAUAGCAAGGCGUUUACGCGUUGGGAGUGAGGCUGAAAAAAUAAGGCCGUUCGCUUUCUAUUAAUGAAAGCUCACCCUACACGAAAAUAUCACGCAGCGCGUGAUAAGCAAUUUUCGUGUCCCCUUCGUCUAGAGGCCCAGGACACCGCCCUUUCACGGCGGUAACAGGGGUUCGAAUCCCCUAGGGGACGCCNGGGAACCUGCGGUUGGAUCACCUCCUUACCUGAAAGAAGCGUACUUUGCAGUGCUCACACAGAUUGUCUGAUGAAAAGUAAAUAGCAAGGCGUCUUGCGAUUGAGACUUCAGUGUCCCCUUCGUCUAGAGGCCCAGGACACCGCCCUUUCACGGCGGAGGGGACGCCACUUGCUGGUUUGUGAGUGAAAGUCACCUGCCUUAAUAUCUCAAAACUGACUUACGAGUCACGUUUGAGAUAUUUGCUCUUUAAAAAUCUGGAUCAAGCUGAAAAUUGAAACACAGAACAACGAAAGUUGUUCGUGAGUCUCUCAAAUUNUGUCCCCUUCGUCUAGAGGCCCAGGACACCGCCCUUUCACGGCGGUAACAGGGGUUCGAAUCCCCUAGGGGACGCCACUUGCUGGUUUGUGAGUGAAAGUCACCUGCCUUAAUAUCUCAAAACUGACUUACGAGUCACGUUUGGUAAUAGCUCACUGGUCGAGUCGGCCUGCGCGGAAGAUGUAACGGGGCUAAACCAUGCACCGAAGCUGCGGCAGCGACGCUUAUGCGUUGUUGGGUAGGGGAGCGUUCUGUAAGCCUGUGAAGGUGGCCUGUGAGGGUUGCUGGAGGUAUCAGAAGUGCGAAUGCUGACAUAAGUAACGAUAAAGCGGGUGAAAAGCCCGCUCGCCGGAAGACCAAGGGUUCCUGUCCAACGUUAAUCGGGGCAGGGUGAGUCGACCCCUAAGGCGAGGCCGAAAGGCGUAGUCGAUGGGAAACGGGUUAAUAUUCCCGUACUUGGUGUUACUGCGAAGGGGGGACGGAGAAGGCUAUGUUGGCCGGGCGACGGUUGUCCCGGUUUAAGCGUGUAGGUGUGUGUUCCAGGUAAAUCCGGUUCACUUUAACACUGAGGCGUGACGACGAGGCACUACGGUGCUGAAGCAACAAAUGCCCUGCUUCCAGGAAAAGCCUCUAAGCAUCAGGUAACAUCAAAUCGUACCCCAAACCGACACAGGUGGUCAGGUAGAGAAUACCAAGGCGCUUGAGAGAACUCGGGUGAAGGAACUAGGCAAAAUGGUGCCGUAACUUCGGGAGAAGGCACGCUGACAUGUAGGUGAAGUGAUUUACUCAUGGAGCUGAAGUCAGUCGAAGAUACCAGCUGGCUGCAACUGUUUAUUAAAAACACAGCACUGUGCAAACACGAAAGUGGACGUAUACGGUGUGACGCCUGCCCGGUGCCGGAAGGUUAAUUGAUGGGGUCAGCGCAAGCGAAGCUCCUGAUCGAAGCCCCGGUAAACGGCGGCCGUAACUAUAACGGUCCUAAGGUAGCGAAAUUCCUUGUCGGGUAAGUUCCGACCUGCACGAAUGGCGUAAUGAUGGCCAGGCUGUCUCCACCCGAGACUCAGUGAAAUUGAACUCGCUGUGAAGAUGCAGUGUACCCGCGGCAAGACGGAAAGACCCCGUGAACCUUUACUAUAGCUUGACACUGAACAUUGAGCCUUGAUGUGUAGGAUAGGUGGGAGGCUUUGAAGUGUGGACGCCAGUCUGCAUGGAGCCGACCUUGAAAUACCACCCUUUAAUGUUUGAUGUUCUAACGUGGACCCGUAAUCCGGGUUGCGGACAGUGUCUGGUGGGUAGUUUGACUGGGGCGGUCUCCUCCUAAAGAGUAACGGAGGAGCACGAAGGUUGGCUAAUCCUGGUCGGACAUCAGGAGGUUAGUGCAAUGGCAUAAGCCAGCUUGACUGCGAGCGUGACGGCGCGAGCAGGUGCGAAAGCAGGUCAUAGUGAUCCGGUGGUUCUGAAUGGAAGGGCCAUCGCUCAACGGAUAAAAGGUACUCCGGGGAUAACAGGCUGAUACCGCCCAAGAGUUCAUAUCGACGGCGGUGUUUGGCACCUCGAUGUCGGCUCAUCACAUCCUGGGGCUGAAGUAGGUCCCAAGGGUAUGGCUGUUCGCCAUUUAAAGUGGUACGCGAGCUGGGUUUAGAACGUCGUGAGACAGUUCGGUCCCUAUCUGCCGUGGGCGCUGGAGAACUGAGGGGGGCUGCUCCUAGUACGAGAGGACCGGAGUGGACGCAUCACUGGUGUUCGGGUUGUCAUGCCAAUGGCACUGCCCGGUAGCUAAAUGCGGAAGAGAUAAGUGCUGAAAGCAUCUAAGCACGAAACUUGCCCCGAGAUGAGUUCUCCCUGAGACUUAGAGUCUCCUGAAGGAACGUUGAAGACGACGACGUUGAUAGGCCGGGUGUGUAAGCGCAGCGAUGCGUUGAGCUAACCGGUACUAAUGAACCGUGAGGCUUAACCUU